RNAcentral lists this ribosomal RNA (497 nucleotides) under uncultured bacterium. RNAcentral describes it as "partial 16S ribosomal RNA". It matches the Rfam family "Bacterial small subunit ribosomal RNA", at positions 28 to 507 of the family's 1533-position model. The record is from RNAcentral.
GAUGAACGCUGGCGGCGUGCCUAAUACAUGCCAGUCGAGCGAACAGACGAGGAGCUUGCUCCUCUGACGUUAGCGGCGGACGGGUGAGUAACACGUGGAUAACCUACCUAUAAGACUGGGAUAACUUCGGGAAACCGGAGCUAAUACCGGAUAAUAUAUUGAACCGCAUGGUUCAAUAGUGAAAGACGGUUUUGCUGUCACUUAUAGAUGGAUCCGCGCCGCAUUAGCUAGUUGGUAAGGUAACGGCUUACCAAGGCAACGAUGCGUAGCCGACCUGAGAGGGUGAUCGGCCACACUAGAACUGAGACACGGUCCAGACUCCUACGGGAGGCAGCAGUAGGGAAUCUUCCGCAAUGGGCGAAAGCCUGACGGAGCAACGCCGCGUGAGUGAUGAAGGUCUUCGGAUCGUAAAACUCUGUUAUUAGGGAAGAACAAAUGUGUAAGUAACUAUGCACGUCUUGACGGUACCUAAUCAGAAAGCCACGGCUAACUACGUG